RNAcentral lists this unclassified non-coding RNA (253 nucleotides) under uncultured Myxococcales bacterium. RNAcentral describes it as "contains 16S-23S intergenic spacer region". It matches the Rfam family "Bacterial small subunit ribosomal RNA", at positions 524 to 776 of the family's 1533-position model. Lineage: Bacteria; Pseudomonadati; Myxococcota; Myxococcia; Myxococcales. The record is from RNAcentral.
GACAGAGGGUGCAAGCGUUGUUCGGAAUCCUUGGGCGUAAAGCGCGCGUAGGCGGCUAGGUAAGUCGGAUGUGAAAGCCCAGGGCUCAACUCUGGAAGUGCAUCCGAAACUGCUUAGCUUGAGUCCCGGAGAGGGUGGUAGAAUUCCCAGUGUAGAGGUGAAAUUCGUAGAUAUUGGGAGGAAUACCGGUGGCGAAGGCGACCACCUGGACGGAGACUGACGCUGAGGUGCGAAAGCGUGGGGAGCAAACAGG